GCAAGCGUUGUUCGGAUUUACUGGGCGUAAAGGGCGCGUAGGCGGUCGUGACAAGUCACUUGUGAAAUCUCCGGGCUUAACUCGGAACGGUCAAGUGAUACUGUCGGACUAGAGUACAGAAGGGGCAACUGGAAUUCUCGGUGUAGCGGUGAAAUGCGUAGAUAUCGAGAGGAACACCAGUGGCGAAGGCGGAACUCUGGGCCGGAACUGACGCUGAGGAGCGAAAGCGUGGGGAGCGAACAGG
Molecule: ribosomal RNA, 244 nt
Filed under: uncultured bacterium
Lineage: Bacteria
Description: partial 16S ribosomal RNA
Rfam family: Bacterial small subunit ribosomal RNA
Source: RNAcentral